This 270-nucleotide non-coding RNA is filed under the name Clostridium celatum. RNAcentral's name for it is "T-box sequence". It matches the Rfam family "T-box leader". Rfam says of the family: Uncharged tRNA acts as the effector for transcription antitermination of genes in the T-box leader family. T-boxes are found upstream of many aminoacyl-tRNA synthetase genes and some amino acid biosynthetic genes usually in Gram-positive bacteria. The anticodon of a specific tRNA base pairs to a specifier sequence within the T-box motif, and the NCCA acceptor tail of the tRNA base pairs to a conserved bulge in the T-box antiterminator hairpin. Lineage: Bacteria; Bacillati; Bacillota; Clostridia; Eubacteriales; Clostridiaceae. The record is from RNAcentral.
UUUAAAGCUUUGAAGAGAAAGAGUAGAAUUAAUGGAGUUUUAUAGAGAGGUCCCGGUUGGUGAAAGGGGCAAAACGAGUUAAUUUGAAUACAUCUCUGAGCAGCACUCCGAAAGAUAACAACCAGUAGGCAGAUGUCGUAAUGUACACGUUAUAGUGCUAGAGUAUAACCAAAGGUUUAUUUUAUAUUUUUGGCGUACUUGAAGAGGUUGUUAUUGUGAAGUAAUGAUAAAUUUAGGUGGUAACACGUGAGUAUAGCUCUCGUCCUAUUU